RNAcentral lists this unclassified non-coding RNA (376 nucleotides) under fungal sp. RNAcentral's name for it is "partial internal transcribed spacer region". The stretch from base 1 to 46 matches the Rfam family "Eukaryotic small subunit ribosomal RNA", at positions 1786 to 1831 of the family's 1831-position model. Lineage: Eukaryota; Fungi. The record is from RNAcentral.
AAGUCGUAACAAGGUUUCCGUAGGUGAACCUGCGGAAGGAUCAUUAACACGUAUCCAUCCCCUCUUGCAGCCCAUGAGGAACAGCAAUCCCGGUAAAUCAUUGCCAAACAGUUUUGAUUCGGGACCUCUGUCCAAAAGGAGUUGCAAUCGAAGGGUGGAAGCAGUGGCAUGGCUUCCCCAAGCAGUUAGUGAAUGACAGUGUCACUGACUGUGUAAGGAUAACGCCUCACGGUUGCUAGAGGUCGAUCACCGACCGGCAGACAUGUCACAGGGUCACCACGCCCCUUAAUCACUCCACUUGAAAAUGCCCCGCCUAGUGGUAACGCGCUAGGUAAAAAAAACCGAACAACUGUUAACAAUGGAUAUCUUGGUUCUC